Molecule: ribosomal RNA, 253 nt
Filed under: uncultured bacterium
Lineage: Bacteria
Description: partial 16S ribosomal RNA
Rfam family: Bacterial small subunit ribosomal RNA
Source: RNAcentral
UACGUAGGUGGCGAGCGUUGUCCGGAUUUAUUGGGUUUAAAGGGUGCGUAGGCGGCCUUAUAAGUCAGUGCUGAAAUAUCCCGGCUUAACCGGGAGGGUGGCAUUGAUACUGUAGGGCUUGAGUGUAGUCGAGGUAGGCGGAAUUGACGGUGUAGCGGUGAAAUGCUUAGAUAUCGUCAAGAACACCGAUAGUGUAGACAGCUUACUAGGCUACAACUGACGCUGAGGCACGAAAGUGUGGGGAUCAAACAGG